This 492-nucleotide ribosomal RNA is filed under the name uncultured bacterium. Its description in RNAcentral is "partial 16S ribosomal RNA". It matches the Rfam family "Bacterial small subunit ribosomal RNA", at positions 29 to 507 of the family's 1533-position model. The record is from RNAcentral.
AGUGAACGCUGGCGGUAGGCCUAACACAUGCAAGUCGAACGGCGGCACAGUAAGAGCUUGUUCUUACGGGUGGCGAGUGGCGGACGGGUGAGGAAUACAUCGGAAUCUACUUUUUCGUGGGGGAUAACGUAGGGAAACUUACGCUAAUACCGCAUACGACCUACGGGUGAAAGCAGGGGAUCUUCGGACCUUGCGCGAUUGAAUGAGCCGAUGUCGGAUUAGCUAGUUGGCGGGGUAAAGGCCCACCAAGGCGACGAUCCGUAGCUGGUCUGAGAGGAUGAUAAGCCACACUGGAACUGAGACAAGGUCCAGACUCCUACGGGAGGCAGCAGUGGGGAAUAUUGGACAAUGGGCGCAAGCCUGAUCCAGCCAUACCGCGUGGGUGAAGAAGGCCUUCGGGUUGUAAAGCCCUUUUGUUGGGAAAGAAAAGCAGCAGGUUAAUACCCCGCUGUUCUGACGGUACCAAAAGAAUAAGCACCGGCUAACUUCGUG